This 253-nucleotide ribosomal RNA is filed under the name uncultured bacterium. RNAcentral's name for it is "partial 16S ribosomal RNA". It matches the Rfam family "Bacterial small subunit ribosomal RNA", at positions 524 to 776 of the family's 1533-position model. The record is from RNAcentral.
UACGGAGGAUCCAAGCGUUAUCCGGAUUUAUUGGGUUUAAAGGGUGCGUAGGCGGAUUGAUAAGUUAGAGGUGAAAUGUCCGAGCUCAACUCGGGAACUGCCUCUAAUACUGUUGAUCUAGAGAGUAGAUGCGGUAGGCGGAAUGUAUGGUGUAGCGGUGAAAUGCUUAGAGAUCAUACAGAACACCGAUUGCGAAGGUAGCUUACCAAUCAAUAUCUGACGUUGAGGCACGAAAGCGUGGGGAGCAAACAGG